AGAUCACUGAAAUUGUCAAGCUGCAGAGUGGGCCACUUCAGUAGUUUCGAGAUGGAAGAAAUAAACCUGUGUUUUUAGGAUGGUAGAAAAGAUCCAGUGGAGCCCUGGCCAGCGCACAGGUUCUGUGACUGAGAGUCACAGUUGGUGGAGAUUAAACAAGUAUUGUAUGACCAUGCCAGACACUGGUACAAAGCUCUACAUGCGUUGUCUUGGUAUCCCCUGAGCCACUGUGUCUUG
Myotis myotis is the source of this 237-nucleotide long non-coding RNA. RefSeq lists it as uncharacterized. The transcript is spliced from 3 exons. Lineage: Eukaryota; Metazoa; Chordata; Mammalia; Chiroptera; Vespertilionidae. The record is from RefSeq and is a predicted model, not a curated record.